RNAcentral lists this long non-coding RNA (213 nucleotides) under Phoenix dactylifera (date palm). Its description in RNAcentral is "long non-coding RNA (PDAC_LNC015823)". The record is from RNAcentral. Lineage: Eukaryota; Viridiplantae; Streptophyta; Magnoliopsida; Arecales; Arecaceae.
AAGAUGUUAAUUAAGCGGGGGUCGUGACAAAGCUUGGUAUCAGAGCAAAGGUUAAGAAGAGUCCUGUCAGAGCAACAGGGUGAAUCAGGAUUAAAUAUAGGAUUAUACUAUGGAGCAUAGGGUUUUCUGUAUGUUAUUUUAUGAGUCAUUUACAAUUCAGUAAAAUAUAUUUGGGGAUGAGACUUAAGAGUUCUUUUUUUUUUGGCUCUACUU